Molecule: transfer RNA, 63 nt
Filed under: Scolopocryptops sp. 1 YG-2013
Lineage: Eukaryota; Metazoa; Arthropoda; Chilopoda; Scolopendromorpha; Cryptopidae
Description: tRNA-Tyr
Source: RNAcentral
GGUAAUAAAGCUUUUAUAAGCGUUAUAUUGUAAAUAUGAAGAAAAAUAAUUUUAUUAUUCUAA